RNAcentral lists this long non-coding RNA (560 nucleotides) under Homo sapiens (human). RNAcentral describes it as "HSALNT0324567". The record is from RNAcentral. Lineage: Eukaryota; Metazoa; Chordata; Mammalia; Primates; Hominidae.
GGGGUCUUGUUUUGCCGCCCAGGCUGGGGUGCAGUAGCGUGAUGAUGGCUCACUGCAGCCUGGGACUCCUGGGCUGAAAUGAUCCUCCCACCUCAGCCUCCCAAGCAGGUGGGACCACAGGCACGUACCACCACAUCCAGCUAAUCUUUUAUUUAUUUUUUGGAGUGACGACAUCACACUGUGUUGCCCAGGCUGGUCUGCAAUUCCUGGCCUCAAGUGAUCCUCCUGCCUUGGCUUCCCAACAUGCUGGAAUUACAGGCGUGACCCACUGCAUCCAGCAUCACCUCGCUUCUCUAUGUUAACCUGUGGCAGUCUGAUACCCGCUCCCAGGCCGCCCCCAGUUCUUUUGCAGGCCCCCUCCUUUUCGAAGAUCUUUCUUUCCAUGCUUUUGCCUGACUUCAUGGCUCCUCGCUCCCCGCAUCACGCCGUGGUGGUGCCUGGAUGCGUGACGAUGUACUGACCACAUUCUGCGGCAAUCACUGUUCGUGAAGCUGCCUCCCCUCCUAGACUGAAAACUCUUCGAAGAUGGGACCAUAUGGUUUCUAUCACCAAAACCAACA